RNAcentral lists this long non-coding RNA (383 nucleotides) under Pan troglodytes (chimpanzee). RNAcentral's name for it is "lncRNA (ENSPTRG00000052981.1)". The record is from RNAcentral. Lineage: Eukaryota; Metazoa; Chordata; Mammalia; Primates; Hominidae.
CCUGAAGGUCACGCUGAAUUCGGACACUGGAGAAGAGAAAGGAGAAGGCCAUUCUGGCUACCCUAGGACUCACAGACGACUUUAAAGAAGAAUCAGAAAAUGGAGACUGGGAUUGGAAGCAGAGAUCCGAUGGCCAAAUUACAGAGUCUGCCACUGAAGCUAACACACCUAUGGAUAACCCAACCUGUAAACUCAAUGUGGAACACAGUUUGAGAAAAGAAGUGAGAAGAUUCAAUUUUGAAGUUGGAUCACUCUCCUACAGGCAAUGAAGACCACAUCACUGAUGGUAGGGUGAAUGUUCUCGUACCUCACAAAGUGGCAGUCCACUUCUUAAAACAUCCACUAUGCAUGGAGAAAACCAUGGUGAUAAGGAUAAUGGACUG